UACGUAGGGGGCGAGCGUUGUCCGGAAUGAUUGGGCGUAAAGGGCGCGUAGGCGGCCCGGUAAGUCUGGAGUGAAAGUCCUGCUUUUAAGGUGGGAAUUGCUUUGGAUACUGUCGGGCUUGAGUGCAGGAGAGGUAAGUGGAAUUCCCAGUGUAGCGGUGAAAUGCGUAGAGAUUGGGAGGAACACCAGUGGCGAAGGCGACUUACUGGACUGUAACUGACGCUGAGGCGCGAAAGUGUGGGGAGCAAAUAGGAUUAGAUACCCUAGUAGUCCACGCUGUAAACGAUGACAACUAAAUAUUGCCGCGAGGCAGUGUUGAAGCUAACGCAUUAAGUUGUCCGCCUGGGGAGUACGGUCGCAAGACUGAAACUUAAAUGAAUUGACGGGG
This 388-nucleotide ribosomal RNA is filed under the name uncultured bacterium. Its description in RNAcentral is "partial 16S ribosomal RNA". It matches the Rfam family "Bacterial small subunit ribosomal RNA", at positions 524 to 918 of the family's 1533-position model. The record is from RNAcentral.